RNAcentral lists this ribosomal RNA (449 nucleotides) under uncultured bacterium. RNAcentral describes it as "partial 16S ribosomal RNA". It matches the Rfam family "Bacterial small subunit ribosomal RNA", at positions 29 to 523 of the family's 1533-position model. The record is from RNAcentral.
AACGAACGCUGGCGGCAUGCCUAACACAUGCAAGUCGAACGAGAUCUUCGGGUCUAGUGGCGCACGGGUGCGUAACGCGUGGGAAUCUGCCCUUUGGUUCGGAAUAACAGUUGGAAACGACUGCUAAUACCGGAUGAUGACGAAAGUCCAAAGAUUUAUCGCCAGAGGAUGAGCCCGCGUAGGAUUAGCUAGUUGGUGUGGUAAAGGCGCACCAAGGCGACGAUCCUUAGCUGGUCUGAGAGGAUGAUCAGCCACACUGGGACUGAGACACGGCCCAGACUCCUACGGGCGGCAGCAGUGGCGAAUAUUGGACAAUGGGCGAAAGCCUGAUCCAGCAAGGCCGCGUGAGUGAUGAAGGCCUUAGGGUUGUAAAGCUCUUUUACCCGGGAUGAUAAUGACAGUACCGGGAGAAUAAGCUCCGGCUAACUCCGUGCCAGCCGCCGCCGUAA